Molecule: ribosomal RNA, 1024 nt
Filed under: Klebsiella sp. BIGb0138
Lineage: Bacteria; Pseudomonadati; Pseudomonadota; Gammaproteobacteria; Enterobacterales; Enterobacteriaceae
Description: Raoultella sp. BIGb0138 partial 23S ribosomal RNA
Rfam family: Bacterial large subunit ribosomal RNA
Source: RNAcentral
CACUAUCGUUAAGUGAAUACAUAGCUUAACGAAGCGAACCGGGGGAACUGAAACAUCUAAGUACCCCGAGGAAAAGAAAUCAACCGAGAUUCCCCCAGUAGCGGCGAGCGAACGGGGAGCAGCCCAGAACCUGAAUCAGUUUGUGUGUUAGUGGAACGGUCUGGAAAGUCCGGCGGUACAGGGUGAUAGCCCCGUACACUAAAAUGCACAGGCUGUGAGUUCGAAGAGUAGGGCGGGACACGUGGUAUCCUGUCUGAAUAUGGGGGGACCAUCCUCCAAGGCUAAAUACUCCUGACUGACCGAUAGUGAACCAGUACCGUGAGGGAAAGGCGAAAAGAACCCCGGCGAGGGGAGUGAAACAGAACCUGAAACCGUGUACGUACAAGCAGUGGGAGCCUCUUUAUGGGGUGACUGCGUACCUUUUGUAUAAUGGGUCAGCGACUUAUAUUCUGUAGCAAGGUUAACCGUAUAGGGGAGCCGCAGGGAAACCGAGUCUUAACUGGGCGUUAAGUUGCAGGGUAUAGACCCGAAACCCGGUGAUCUAGCCAUGGGCAGGUUGAAGGUUGGGUAACACUAACUGGAGGACCGAACCGACUAAUGUUGAAAAAUUAGCGGAUGACCUGUGGCUGGGGGUGAAAGGCCAAUCAAACCGGGAGAUAGCUGGUUCUCCCCGAAAGCUAUUUAGGUAGCGCCUCGUGAACUCAUCUUCGGGGGUAGAGCACUGUUUCGGCUAGGGGGUCAUCCCGACUUACCAACCCGAUGCAAACUACGAAUACCGAAGAAUGUUAUCACGGGAGACACACGGCGGGUGCUAACGUCCGUCGUGAAGAGGGAAACAACCCAGACCGCCAGCUAAGGUCCCAAAGUCAUGGUUAAGUGGGAAACGAUGUGGGAAGGCCCAGACAGCCAGGAUGUUGGCUUAGAAGCAGCCAUCAUUUAAAGAAAGCGUAAUAGCUCACUGGUCGAGUCGGCCUGCGCGGAAGAUGUAACGGGGCUAAACCAUGCACCGAAGCUGCGGCAGCGA